This 211-nucleotide ribosomal RNA is filed under the name uncultured Staphylococcus sp. RNAcentral's name for it is "partial 16S ribosomal RNA". It matches the Rfam family "Bacterial small subunit ribosomal RNA", at positions 151 to 354 of the family's 1533-position model. Lineage: Bacteria; Bacillati; Bacillota; Bacilli; Caryophanales; Staphylococcaceae. The record is from RNAcentral.
GGGAAACCGGAGCUAAUACCGGAUAAUAUUUCUAACCGCAUGGUUCGAUAGUGAAAGAUGGUUUUGCUAUCACUUAUAGAUGGACCUGCGCCGUAUUAGCUAGUUGGUAAGGUAACGGCUUACCAAGGCGACGAUACGUAGCCGACCUGAGAGGGUGAUCGGCCACACUGGAACUGAGACACGGUCCAGACUCCUACGGGAGGCAGCAGGC